This 253-nucleotide ribosomal RNA is filed under the name uncultured bacterium. RNAcentral's name for it is "partial 16S ribosomal RNA". It matches the Rfam family "Bacterial small subunit ribosomal RNA", at positions 524 to 776 of the family's 1533-position model. The record is from RNAcentral.
GACGAACCGAGCGAACGUUGUUCGGAAUCACUGGGCUUAAAGGGCGCGUAGGCGGGCUAUCAAGUCUGGGGUGAAAUGCCACGGCUCAACCGUGGAACUGCCUCAGAUACUGACGGCCUCGAGGGAGGUAGGGGCAUGCGGAACUGUAGGUGGAGCGGUGAAAUGCGUUGAUAUCUACAGGAACUCCGGUGGCGAAAGCGGCGUGCUGGACCUCUUCUGACGCUGAGGCGCGAAAGCUAGGGGAGCAAACGGG